This 303-nucleotide ribosomal RNA is filed under the name uncultured bacterium. Its description in RNAcentral is "partial 16S ribosomal RNA". It matches the Rfam family "Bacterial small subunit ribosomal RNA", at positions 507 to 807 of the family's 1533-position model. The record is from RNAcentral.
AGCAGUCGCCGCGGGAAUACGGAGGGUGCAAGCGUUAAUCGGAAUUACUGGGCGUAAAGCGCACGCAGGCGGUUUGUUAAGUCAGAUGUGAAAUCCCCGAGCUUAACUUGGGAACUGCAUUUGAAACUGGCAAGCUAGAGUCUUGUAGAGGGGGGUAGAAUUCCAGGUGUAGCGGUGAAAUGCGUAGAGAUCUGGAGGAAUACCGGUGGCGAAGGCGGCCCCCUGGACAAAGACUGACGCUCAGGUGCGAAAGCGUGGGGAGCAAACAGGAUUAGAUACCCGUGUAGUCCCUGUCUCUUAUAC